UUAGUAAUUUGAGUUCUCUCUCUUCUUCUCUUCGCUAGCAUGGCGAAAAUGGGCCCUGUACCCAAAGGUGAGGAGCUGUUCCACAGCCUGCAGCCCCUGCUGAUCUCUGUGCUUAGUGACAGCUCAAAUAGCUGAGCUCCACUGUGUUUCCACUCUCGGCUUGGGUUGCUAUGUGGCUGCUGCUGAUGUCCAGGAGGACAUCGUUUAUGAGGACAUGGAGACACUCUGUGGUACCCUGCGCACUCUGGCCACUGACAGCAACAAGUACCAUGCUAAGGCCAACGCUCUACUUUCCGUGCUGUGCUGAACUUUGUUGAGGGCAGUGAAUGCCAGGAAGAGACAAUCCGCUUUGGACUGAAGUGCUCUAUGUGGACAGCUGGGCUCAGCACCAGAUCUAUGCUGCCUUCAAGGAUGUACUGGGUUCCGGCAUGCACCACCACCUUCAGAACAAUGAGCUUCUUCGUGACUUCUUUGGCCUGGGCCCAGUGCUGGUGCUGGAUGACACUUCCCUGAAGGCCUGCAAAAUUUCAUGCUUUGAGAAGCACCUGUACAAUGCUGCUACCUUCAAAGGCCUGACCAAGGCUCGCAGCCGUGUAAGGGACAAGUGGGCAGACACCCUGUGAGGCGGACCAGCUGAAGAGAAGUCUAUCCACAUUGUUGCCCAUAUUUUUACAGAAGAGAGUGCAAGAACUGGUCUCUGCCAGUGAUUGUCACUUUAUUUUUUUAAUGGCAAAACCAAAAACAGAUAUAGGACAGAUGAGUGAAGGGUCAGGACUUUUGGGACCCUGGCCUUUGUCCCCGCACUCAACUCUAUGGCCUCUUCCUGCCCUUUCUCAGGUGUGAACAGUCUCAAUCAAGUUAAGUCUCAAUCAAGUCAGAACCAAUGCUGGAACCAUCUUCUGGGGUCAUGGACAGUGAACUGAAGGAGACAUUCCAGUGUGGUGUGCAGCUUAUAAGGAAGAGGGAGAGAUGAUGGAUGAAACACCUGCUCAGUGGAGUGAGAAAAUAGAUCUACUGAGGCUCCUGUGUGUGCAAGGUUCCCAGCUAGUGGGGGAUAUACUGCUCAACCGGUUCUUGUGCCUGCUUCAACUACAGAGGAGGCGAGAAGGAGAAGAAAUGAUGGAG
This is an RNA transcript of Marmota monax (woodchuck), 1125 nucleotides long. It is a transcript of the gene named interferon-related developmental regulator 2, with no coding region annotated. The transcript is spliced from 3 exons. The record is from RefSeq and is a predicted model, not a curated record. Lineage: Eukaryota; Metazoa; Chordata; Mammalia; Rodentia; Sciuridae.